Molecule: RNase P RNA, 326 nt
Filed under: Flavobacterium gillisiae
Lineage: Bacteria; Pseudomonadati; Bacteroidota; Flavobacteriia; Flavobacteriales; Flavobacteriaceae
Description: Bacterial RNase P class A
Rfam family: Bacterial RNase P class A
About the family: Ribonuclease P (RNase P) is a ubiquitous endoribonuclease, found in archaea, bacteria and eukarya as well as chloroplasts and mitochondria. Its best characterised activity is the generation of mature 5'-ends of tRNAs by cleaving the 5'-leader elements of precursor-tRNAs.
Source: RNAcentral
GGCACAGACCGCCUUAUCGCCGUUUUGAGCAAUCAAAAGGGAGGAAAGUCCGGACACCUUAGAGAAGCAUAGCGGGUAACUCCCGUCGGUUUUGUCUGCAAAGGCGAGAUUAGGACAAGUGCAACAGAAAGUAUGUACAGGUAAUGCUGUAGUGAAACCAGGUAAACUCUAUGCGGUGAAAUAUCAAGUAUAUCAGCAUUUAAGGGCUUCUCGUCCGUUGCUGAAGGGUAGAUAGCUUGAGUCAUACAGUAAUGUAUGAUCUAGAUAAAUGAUAAGGGUUCCGAUUUAUCGGGAUACAGAAUCCGGCUUAUAGGUCUGUUUUUUUU